This 363-nucleotide long non-coding RNA is filed under the name Notechis scutatus (mainland tiger snake). Its description in RNAcentral is "lncRNA (ENSNSUG00000013795.1)". The record is from RNAcentral. Lineage: Eukaryota; Metazoa; Chordata; Lepidosauria; Squamata; Elapidae.
UCACAGCCGAACAGAAAUAAGUCCAUAGAAGUAGGAAAAGGGAAGAGAGUGGCUCUACACUAAUAGUAUCUCUAUGUACUUUUCAGGAAGUUGGACAAAGAGCGGUCGCUGCUUGUGUCUGGAACGGGCUCAGCUCGUCAAAGAGCAAAGAUGCUGUGCCUUCAAAGUUGGACCUCACAUCUCACAAAUUAUUCAAAACCACUUCAAAGGAUGUUAUGUGAAGCCAGUGCUAAACUACCAGCGUUAACGUUGUUCACCAAGGCAAUCCUGAUUGUGGAUGAUUUGUUGCACUUUCAGUGUUGAUUGAUCCUGCUGGUGUGUUCAUUUCAUAUCAUGAAUAAAAUUCCAAGGGAACGUUGGGCA